RNAcentral lists this ribosomal RNA (372 nucleotides) under uncultured organism. RNAcentral's name for it is "bacterial SSU rRNA". It matches the Rfam family "Bacterial small subunit ribosomal RNA", at positions 526 to 896 of the family's 1533-position model. The record is from RNAcentral.
CGUAGGGUGCUAGCGUUGUUCGGAAUUAUUGGGCGUAAAGCGCGUGUAGGCGGUCAUUUAAGUCGGUUGUGAAAUCCCUUGGCUUAACCAAGGAAGUGCAUCCGAAACUAUUUGGCUAGGAGACGGUAGAGGAAAGUGGAAUUCCUAGUGUAGAGGUGAAAUUCGUAGAUAUUAGGAGGAGUACCGGUGGCGAAGGCGGCUUUCUGGAUUGAUCUCGACGCUGAGGCGCGAAAGCAUGGGUAGCAAACAGGAUUAGAUACCCUGGUAGUCCAUGCUGUAAACGAUGGGUACUAGAUGUUGUGGGAAUUGACCCCCACAGUGUCGACGCUAACGCAUUAAGUACCCCGCCUGGGAAGUACGGCCGCAAGGUUA